GACGAACGCUGGCGGCGUGCUUAACACAUGCAAGUCGAGCGGUAAGGCCCUUUCGGGGGUACACGAGCGGCGAACGGGUGAGUAACACGUGGGUGACCUGCCCUCAGCUCUGGGAUAAGCCUGGGAAACCGGGUCUAAUACCGGAUAUGACUCCAUGACGCAUGUUGUGGGGUGGAAAGCCUUGUGCGGCUGAGGAUGGGCCCGCGGCCUAUCAGCUUGUUGGUGGGGUGAUGGCCUACCAAGGCGACGACGGGUAGCCGGCCUGAGAGGGCGACCGGCCACACUGGGACUGAGACACGGCCCAGACUCCUACGGGAGGCAGCAGUAGGGAAUAUUGGACAAUGGGCGCAAGCCUGAUCCAGCCAUGCCGCGUGAGUGAUGAAGGCCUUAGGG
Molecule: ribosomal RNA, 393 nt
Filed under: uncultured bacterium
Lineage: Bacteria
Description: bacterial SSU rRNA
Rfam family: Bacterial small subunit ribosomal RNA
Source: RNAcentral